This 1196-nucleotide long non-coding RNA is filed under the name Homo sapiens (human). RNAcentral describes it as "HSALNT0328395". The record is from RNAcentral. Lineage: Eukaryota; Metazoa; Chordata; Mammalia; Primates; Hominidae.
CGUGCGUGUGGGGGAGGACGCAGCAGGAGGACUCGCUAGAGAGCUGCUCCUCAAAACUCCUAGUACUGUAGUUGAGCAAACGGCAUUGGGAGGAAACUGCUCACUCUAAACUUGAAGUUAUCGGGUGCCACACGCAGAGCUUAUAAAAACAAAAACAAAAACAAAAACCCUUGAAAUUAGUGAGUCGACUCUUAGAUGUAGGAGUUGUGUUAGAUCUUGUGGAGCAUCUUAAGGACAAAAUCACGCGGGAGGUUAAAUGCCUUUCGUAUGGUGGGCAUGGUAUAAUAGAGAAUUGAGCUUCGAGGUCUUUCCUACGCCAUGCCCUGUUGUGAUUCUCUGGGAUCACAACUGGUGGGGAUGAUAUCUCCUUAAAAAGGACUCUAGAAGAAGAGUAAAACUGGCAUUGAUCUAAAUUAAAAGAAACCUCGACAAUUCUCAUUCUCUAAUUCAGUUUGAGUAUUGUCCUUUUUAUUUGAUAGGGCUGUGUGAAAACCUAGCUAGGGUUUAAAGCUGAGAAACAAAGAUUUUUAUGUAAAUCUCCUAAUAUUUAUUCUGUAACACUUAAGUUAAAAAUUUUAAUAAGCAUUUUCUGGACACUAAAAAAGUUUUAGGCCAAAGUUAGCCCACAGGUUUCUAGUUUUCCAAAUCUGCUGUAGUGACUGCCAAUGCAGAAGGGCAUUCUGUCUUAUACCUGUAUUAGCAGUUUUGCAGAAUUGUAGCCCUAGCUGAUUUCAUUGUAUUCUCAUUCAGCUGUUUAUUCAAGUAUCAUAUUUAUCAUCUUUGAUCUUUGCAUCUGUUAUGGCCUCCAAUAUUGGGAACGUUUGCUUUUGCCUUGGGUUUUGGAAAAUUAAAAACCAAUAUGACCCUUAUAGGUUAGAAUAUUUACAGAAUUAGAAACAAGCAGUAUAGUCUAAUAGAGGAUGUAAGAGGUGAAGAUAAGACCUACUAGGUGAGAAGCACUAUGCAGGGACUAAUUCAGUGAUGGAGGAGUUAUGGAUUGUGAGAACAUAUUCAGCUCAGGGUGUUGGGAAAAGCUCCAUGGAAGAGUUAGCACUGGAAUGUCAAAGUUUUCUAUCUGCGAUAAUGGGAGUAUUAAAAUAUUCUAAGUUUAAGGAUCUUAUGAGCUAUCAUACGGUGUUUUGGGGGAAAGACAGUAAUCUGUUUUCACAGGAAUAUGUGGUGCUCGAAGGUGAUUG